Antechinus flavipes (yellow-footed antechinus) is the source of this 4017-nucleotide long non-coding RNA. RefSeq lists it as uncharacterized. The record is from RefSeq and is a predicted model, not a curated record. The transcript has 2 exons. NCBI's taxonomy places the organism in Eukaryota, Metazoa, Chordata, Mammalia, Dasyuromorphia, Dasyuridae.
UGGUUACAGAUUUUUAAAAAACAGUUAUUCAGCAUUAUGCUAAAUAGAUACAGAAUUAAUUUUUAGCCUAAGAAACUUAAUUCAAACUUCAAACUUAAUUCUGAAUUUGAUCUUCAUAUUAUUUCUAAUAUGUUAUUGCAGGGAAGAGUUAGAAUAGAAUUUUUAAAAUGCAAAGGACCUUUUUCUGUAAUGGCCUGGACUUGUAGUUUCAUUUGUGCAAAGAACUCCUGGUGUAGAAACUCAUUUCACCAAUACAAAAUUGCAACUUGUCUUUAACUUAAAUGCAGAGAAUUACCUGGGAGGUUAGGUGAUUUCCCUGUGGUCACAUAAUUAGUAUGUCAGAGGAAGGUCUGGCACAUUGGCAAGAUGUUUAUUAUGAACUUUGUCUCUUGACUUUUGUACUUAACCACUAUUCUAGUUUGCUGCUUUUAAUAUACUGUAAGUUGAAAAAUAAGAUAACCAAAGUUAUUUAAGAUAGAAUUCUUAACAAAGCUCUGAGUACAAGUACCAAGGAGUAAGAUGGCUAUUGUGUUAAGUUCUUUGUAAUGAUAAUGACUUCCCAACUCAGAAUUACCCUCUAGAUCACAAUUUCUUAAUUUUUUUUCCACGUGUGAUCCCUUUUUGUCUGAGAAAUGUAUAUGUGACUCUGGGUAUAUAGGUAUAUAAAAUAGCAAUACAAAUCAAACAUUUAUUGAUUUAAUAAUGUUUAUUUUAAAACAGUUCUUUGGUGUACAUAUAAUUUUAUCACUUAUUAAAGAUGAGAUGCACACCAAUGAGAUGGAUGUGCUUUUUUUUUUUUUUUAAAACAUAAAGAACUAAAUCUUGGUGGAAUAUUGCAGAACACAGAGAUUCAGAAAUCUUUUACUUGUUGCCAAAUAUUUUGGUCUCUACAUUCAGUUAUAUGACCCCAUAUUGGGGUUCUGGUCUACAAGAAAGGUAUCAAAUACUCAGGAUGUAGUCUGAAACAUUGAGGACUAGAAUCCCCCAAGAGGCAAUGGUUUGAUCAUAAGGUAUCAUGGCCUUACUCUAAGAAGUCUCUGAUCAACCAGAGGGUAGGAAGAUGAGUUGUAGACAAAUUAUAGUGCUUUCCUUCAACAUGAUCAUAGCUACUAUUACCUCCAAUCUGAUUUCCCCACUGUCUACUCUUCCCUCUUAUGAAAGGUUCCAAUAUCCCUACUUCUGAACUAGGGAUCAGUGUCUCAUGACAACUACACAACAAGACAUGUGGACACCUACAACAGCAGUCUCAUGGGUAUCAUUGUGAAAAUUACAUUUCUUUACCUCAGCAUACUUCUCCUCUGAUCCUCAAUUCAUAAUUUGGUUUUGAUAGUAACCUUUUGCAGAGGACAGGAUCACUAUGCUAUGACUGAUGGGGAAGCAGGAAUUUUGGGUAAGACAGAGAACAGGAUAAGUAGGCAUGAAUGGAUUGUGAUCGACUGCAGAAUUCAUUACAUUUAUCUUUUCCCUCAAAUCUACCUGUUUACCUAAGCUCCCUAUUCUAAUUUCUAAAAUUUUCUUUUUUAAUUGCGAACUUAUUACACACACACACACACACACACACACACACACACACACACAUUUCUGUAUGUAUUGUGACAAAGUAUUCUAUAUAAGGCAUUACCAUCCUUUCAGUAACCCACAUAAUUCCAGUACCUUCCAAAUUCAUUCUCCCUCACCACAUAUAUCCUCUAAGUUUCCAUUUUUUUUUUUUCUAUUUCUACAUCACUUGUAUCUAUCUGUCCAUUUCUUUCUACUUAUAUAGCUAUCACCUUAGUUCAAAUCCUUGUAACUUCUCAGUUGCAUGCCUACAAUAGCCUUUUUACAUGACCAUGGUCUCCCUGGUUCAUCUCUCCUAAAUCCUAUUCAUCUUCCACAAAAUUGCCAAAGUGAUUUUUUACUAAAUCCUAUUUGUCCAUAACACAUCCUGCUCAAUAAAUUCCACUGAUCCCUUAUCACCUCCAGGAUCAAAUACAAAUGGCUUUUUGGCAUGCCAUUAACCCUUUCAUAAUGUAGCCCCUCCUACUUUUUCCAGUCUUCUUGUACUUUACUCUUCAUACUGUACUCUUUGAUCCAGGGACACUGCCCUCCUAGCUGUUCCAUGAAUAAGACACUCCAUCUUUCAGCUCCAGGUAUUUUCUCUGGCUCUCUCCGAUGGCUGAAAUACUUUCUUUCCUCAUCUCUAUUAUCUAAUUUGUCUGGCGGCUUCCUUUAGGUCCAAAUAAAAUUCCACCUUCUACAGGAACUCUUUUCCAAGCCAUCUUAAUUCUAGAACUGAUUCUGUUAAAUACUUUCUAUUUAUCCUAAAUGUAGCCUAUUUGUACUUAUGCCUCUUUCUGUAUACCCAGUGCUUUGCACAGUGCCUAGAACAUAGUUUGCAUUUAAUAACUAUAGCACCCAGAACUAAUCUCAAUAUUUUAGAUAUUGUCUCACCAGGAUAGACUAUAGAAGAAAUAUUCCUCCCUUAUUCCUGGAAGUUGAUUCUCUUAGUGUAGUCCCAAAACUACAUUUCUGGACCACGACAUUAUAGUGCUGAUUCAUUUUGAGCUUGCAGUCCAUCAAAACUCUUAAGACUUUUUUCAGACAUAAUGAUGAUAAACCACGCCUCUUCUAUUUUGAACUUGAGAAGCUGAUUUUUUUUUAACUCUAGUAGAAGACAUGUUUAUAAAUCCUCAACUGUCAUCUUAUUUGAUUCAGUCUAUCAAGAUUUGUUUGGAUCCUGUAAAGCAAAGUAUUUACUCUUUUCAACCCCCACUUUUGUAUAAUCCAUCAAUUUAAAGCAUUUUAAAAAUACUUACUAUAUUUUAUCAACUAUGCUAGGUACUAGGGAUACAAAAGAAAAAAAAGGAAAUAAUCCCUGCUAUCAAAGAGUUUAUAUUUGAUUCCCUAAAACUUUUAAGUGCCUUCAUCCUCCACAAAAGAAUUAGCUUGUAUCUGUUUAUACAUGUUUCUGUGUACUGAUGCUUCCUUCUCACCCAUUCCCAUACCACUCUAUAACAUAAUUUCUUUGGUAAUGGGGCCUCCUAUCUCUUCCCCCCAUGUAUCUCUAGUGCCUAGCACAAUGCCUGACUCAUAGAAGGUGUUUAAUAGCCAAAUAAAAAAGAUUAGAUUUGAUCCUAGAGGAAAAGGGAAAUUACUGCAAUUUAAUAAGCAGGGAGAAGGAGCAUGGCCAGAUGAAAUGAAGAGGAGAGGCUAUGGGAAAACAAUUAGGGGACUACUCUUAAGAAUUCAAAAAAAAGGUAAUGAGAUUGGUGGUUGUAUGAGCACAGAGAUACUGCAUAAGCAGAACGAGCUAGAUUUAGCAACUGAUUUGAUAAGUAGGAUGAAGAAUCAAGAAUGACUGCAGUUGUGGACCUGAAUGACAACUCUCUGACAGAAAUAGGAAGACUCAAAAGGCACAUUUAGAGGAAAACAGGUGUUCUAUUUUGGAUACACUGAGAUGUCCAACAGGCAACUGGUUGAGCUCAGGAAAAGAGAAUGUGUCAGGCUUCAUCUGCAUAAAGAUGAUAAUUAAACGCAGGAUAAGAUCACCAGGAGAGACAAAAUGCAGGAUGAGAAAAGAAGGUGGCCUACACAGAUAUUUCGGGUACAAUUAUGAUUAAGGGAAAUGAUAUGGAUUAUGAUUCUACAAAGGAGACUGAGAAGUGAUCAGACAGGUAGGAGAACUGACAGAAAGCAGGGUCAUGUAAACUCAGAGUGAAGAGAGUAGUCAAAGGUAUUAAAUGUUGCAAAGAGGUUCAGAAUAAGGAGGACUGAAAAAGGGCUAUCAGAUUUGGCAAUUAAGAGAUCAUUGUAACUUUAGAGAGCAGUUUCCAUUGAAUAAUGAAGUUGGAAACCACACUGUAAGGGACUGAGAAGAGAAGUGGAGGAGAGAACAAACAAGGUUUUGCUAGGAUUCUGGCUAUGAAAUCAAGGGGAUAUCUAAAAGGGUAGGGAGAGGGUUUUUUUUUUUGUUUUGUUUUGUUUUGUUUUGUUUUUAUGUUUUAAGUCAUAUAAAUAGGGGUCAUCUCAUACUGACUU